GACUCAGCCUUCCAUCCUCUCGGGGUAGGUAAACUGAGGACCCAAGAUUGUUGGGGGCAAUAAGCUGGCUUUGUAAAAAUGCCGCUUAGUAAUAAUAAGCAGGCAUAUACAAUGGAAGGAAGGCUAUCGCUGAGCGCAUUGGAUUGUGCUCCAAAAAUUGUAAGCGGCCUGAGUCUCCGGAGAAGGGCAGCAUAUAAAUAUGAAUUAAAAAACUGCUCUACACUCUGCAGUGGCCACAAGGGCUUUGCCCCCCACCCUCCCCCAAUUUGUUUUCUGGGGUUCUUGGUCAGCAGUGCUGGGAAGGUCCCCCGUCAGCCAUAGGAGGGAAUUCCGGAGGAAGACCGUCUCUCAAGCAGAAGCUUCUGGAUUUUGCUCCUGCUGUUUUUUAAAUCACUUCUGCCUGCAGGCUGUGUCAUCGCCCUUGGCUUUCUUCUUGCAGUGACAGAGAUGCUCCUGGGGGAACCCCUUGGUGGCUGGCUUCCAGGAUGACCUGGACCUUGAUGAGCGUCUCUUCAGCAAGCCCCCGCCAGCGGCAGAGCUGGUCCCGAGCAAAAACGUGAACCUGUCGAGCGAGGAAGAAGAGUCCUCCAAGCUCUCCGUCAUGGGGGCUGAAGAUGCUGGCUUAGAACAAGAAAAAAAACGAGCUUCCAAAAAGCCCUCGAAACUCCCGGAACCCUCGGCCCUUCCCACAUCCUCCACUGAGCUGAAAUCUCCCGCUGGCCAGCCUCCACUUGUGCAAAGCAAGCGCCCGAUGGCAGCCGGCGGCCCUGAGGCCCGCCCGCCCGCAGCGCCCUCUGCCUCCAAGCAGCAGGAGUCCGAGAGCGACUCGGAGGGGCCCUUCGCUGUGCAGAUGCUCUCCUUUGUGAUGGACGAUCCGGACUUCGAAAGCGAGGAGUCUGAGAGCCAGAGGAAGCGGCCAGAGGAGUUUCCAGUGCGAGAGGAUCUCUCGGACUCCGAGGAGGAUCCCCCUUCCAGACUCCCCAGCUGCCCAAGCCUGCGAUCCGCUCCUUCAGAGUGAAGAAUGAGGCCGAUCUCUUUGGGUUGGGGCUGGAUACAGCGGUGGGCAGAGACAGCAGCGAGGAAGGUGAGGGGCCUUGGCCACAAUCGCACCCUGAGACCAGACUCUGCCUUGCAGAGAAGGCUGCGUGCCAUGGAGCUUUCCCCCAGCUGUGCAUUACCAUAAAGGCACCUUCUCCCCAGUAAACGUGGUAUCAGCGGGAGGCUUUUCAUGCUGCCACAGGUGGUUCUCUUUGUCAAGCCUUUCUCUGCUACCAUUCUCAAAGGCUUGGAAAAAACCUCUUGCCAGGGAGUAAAAAUUCUUCCAAAACAUCCCUGCUAAUUAGAGGUGAUAGACCGUGUUCUUCUUUGCUGUCAAUGAUGAUAAAAAUGAGACCCAGAAAGUAAUCUAAAAACAUUCUUAUUUAUAAAAUAAAUAAACGUACACGGAGCUACAUGUUUGCAACCUAAUCUCCACCAAGGCAUAUAGAAAAAGAAGAAAGGAAUAUUAAGAACGGAAGUUACAGGAAGUGAAGUAAAACUUUUUAUACAUGAGCAGUAAAUCAAAACAUCACAAGACUUUCUUAUCUCAUUACUAUGGAGACAAGAUAACACAGUGCUGGCUAGCAGACACCUGCUUACUAGAAUAUGAGCUUAGGAGCUUGAACAGACAAACCCCAAAAAAACCCCCGCAGUGACACUCUUGUCCCGCUGGAAGCUCACCCUCCUUUUUCAUGCCCUUCUGCUCACAGCUGCAGAUAAGGAGAAGCAGACUUUGAAGGAGAAAAAGAAGAAAAAGAAGAGAACUAGCAAAGAGGUGGGUCAGUGUGGAGCUGUGCUUGGACAAGGGCAAGAAAUGUUUCUGAGCUAAGGCCCCAAAGGGGACCGUGACUGUGGCCAGGGUGGGCUCCAUGCCAGCCAAACAGGUCCCCAGGCAUUGCUCCGAGCAGCCCACCCAAAAGGCCCCCUUUGGAGCCUUCGGCUGUGCUCCUCCGCAGGGCCCUUGCCCCAAGGGGAGGCGGCUUCUCUGCCUGCAAGCUCGGCGGGGCUGGCGGCUUUGGGCCUCUCCAGGGGCUGCUUGGGGAGGUAUCCCCCUGCUUCAUCCUUUCUCCCCAUCUGCUUUUCCAGGAAGAACCGGAGAAGGUUUCAGGAAGGAAAAAGAGCAAGCCCAAAAAGGAGGACGAGGACAGAGGAGAAAAGGGGAAGAAGAAGCCGUCCAAGCAGCAGCACCC
Molecule: long non-coding RNA, 2228 nt
Filed under: Naja naja (Indian cobra)
Lineage: Eukaryota; Metazoa; Chordata; Lepidosauria; Squamata; Elapidae
Description: lncRNA (ENSNNAG00000009440.1)
Source: RNAcentral